GACGAACGCUGGCGGCGUGCCUAAUACAUGCAAGUUGAGCGCUGAAGGUUGGUACUUGUCCCAACUGGAUGAGCAGCGAACGGGUGAGUAACGCGUGGGGAAUCUGCCUUUGAGCGGGGGACAACAUUUGGAAACGAAUGCUAAUACCGCAUAAAAACUUUAAACACAAGUUUUAAGUUUGAAAGAUGCAAUUGCAUCACUCAAAGAUGAUCCCGCGUUGUAUUAGCUAGUUGGUGAGGUAAAGGCUCACCAAGGCGAUGAUACAUAGCCGACCUGAGAGGGUGAGCGGCCACAGUGGGAAUGAGAGACGGCCCAAACUCCUACGGGAGGCAGCAGUAGGGAAUCUUCGGCAGUGGACGAAAGUCUGACCGAGCAACGCCGCGUGAGUGAAGAAGGGUGUCGGAUCGUAAAACUCUGUUGGUAGAGAAGAACGUUGGUGAGAGUGGAAAGCUCAUAAAGUGACGGUAACUACCCAGAAAGGGACGGCUAACUACGUG
RNAcentral lists this ribosomal RNA (497 nucleotides) under uncultured bacterium. RNAcentral's name for it is "partial 16S ribosomal RNA". It matches the Rfam family "Bacterial small subunit ribosomal RNA", at positions 28 to 507 of the family's 1533-position model. The record is from RNAcentral.